UGUGCUGUUGUGUGUAUGUGUCCAAUAUGACGUGUAUGUUUAAACGUAUGCUUUCAUGUGACGCUUAAUGUAUGCAUGCAUAUGAUACGUGUACUUUUGUUAUUAUGUAGAAUUUAGAUUUGUAUGGUAAAAAGAAUUUUUGUUUACAGUUUUAUUUAAGAAAAAGAUAAAUGAUUAAUUAAAAAUAAUAAAUAAAAUAAGAAGAAGAAGAAAUUAUUUAUUAGAGCUCUGUGAUCUUUGAAAAACUAAUUGCUUUAAUACUCGUCAAUGGGUUGAAAAAUGUUGAGCCUGGCACGAAAAGAGUAGGUUGAAAAAUGUUUUGAGCUUGGCACAAAGAGAAUGGAUUGAAAAGUUUUGAGCCUGGCAUGAGGAUAGUUCGUUGCAAAAUCGAAAAAGAAAAAUUCCGAAAAAUUGUAUCAUAGUAAUCCAAUAGGUAAUUAGAUUUCAACGUAGAUGGUAUUGUUCCUUACUAGAAUAUCACGAUACAAGUGUACUUGACUAGGAACCUUGAAUUACUUGCUUACAAUGGCACUUGUUUUUUUUUUCUAAUAAAUUUCAAAAUAACGUGUGUAACAGACGGUUCGUCAGGUAUCGAUAGUGUUACGAUAGUGUUCGCGAGAUUCACGAAAAAAAAAAUUGAAAAUUCCCCAAAAAAUAUAUACCAUGAAAUUGUAAUUUUGCGAUUUAGGUUAAUUGUAUUAAUUAUCAAUGCACGUGUAACAAUUCGUAGGCAAAAUGUUUUCACCGUUUUACAAUUGUUUUUUUUUUUAAUUCUAUCUCUCGAUUUAAUUUCACGUGACGAUCAGAAGGCAUAGCGAUCUUGAAAAGUUGACAACUGGCAUAUAUACUUGAACUCUAUCCGAGAGCAAAGAGUGAAACAACAUACAAGAGAUGA
RNAcentral lists this long non-coding RNA (895 nucleotides) under Polistes fuscatus (common paper wasp). RNAcentral's name for it is "uncharacterized LOC122523605". The record is from RNAcentral. Lineage: Eukaryota; Metazoa; Arthropoda; Insecta; Hymenoptera; Vespidae.